GAUGAACGCUGGCGGCGUGCCUAAUACAUGCAAGUCGAGCGAACAGACGAGGAGCUUGCUUUUCUGACGUUAGCGGCGGACGGGGGAGUAACACGUGGAGAACCUACCUAUAAGACUGGGAUAAAUUCGGGAAACCGGAGCUAAUACCGGAUAAUAUAUUGAACCGCAUGGUUCAAUAGUGAAAGACGGUUUUGCUGUCACUUAUAGAUGGAUCCGCGCCGCAGUAGCUAGUUGGUAAGGUAACGGCUUACCAAGGCAACGAUGCGUAGCCGACCUGAGAGGGUGGUCGGCCACACGGGAACUGAGACACGGUCCAGACUCCUACGGGAGGCAGCAGUAGGGAAUCUUCCGCAAUGGGGGAAAGCCUAACGGAGCACCGCCGCGUGAGUGAUGAAGGUCUUCGGAUCGUAAAACUCUGUUAUAAGGGAGGAACAAAUGUGUAAGUAACUAUGCACGUCUUGACGGUACCUAAUCAGAAAGCCACGGCUAACUACGUG
Molecule: ribosomal RNA, 497 nt
Filed under: uncultured bacterium
Lineage: Bacteria
Description: partial 16S ribosomal RNA
Rfam family: Bacterial small subunit ribosomal RNA
Source: RNAcentral